Oncorhynchus gorbuscha (pink salmon) is the source of this 1929-nucleotide long non-coding RNA. RefSeq lists it as uncharacterized. The transcript is spliced from 5 exons. The record is from RefSeq and is a predicted model, not a curated record. NCBI's taxonomy places the organism in Eukaryota, Metazoa, Chordata, Actinopteri, Salmoniformes, Salmonidae.
UGCUGUACAUACACAACUGUGUGUGUGUGAGCGCGCGUAUAUCUCUCUCUCUGUCUGUAUAGAGCCUGCUAAUGUGGAACAUUGUGGACGUUUUAGUCCACAGGAGUGAGGAAGUCUGAAGAUCAAAGCUCUCACCUUCAAACAGUAGACAGCGCUGACUUCUUCAGAGUAGUGCAACCUUGUUCCAGAUUCAAAAGUGUUGAAGACAGAUGUCUGAACAUUGUGGGAAGUGAAGCAAGUUCUCAUCCCACCGUCCUGGAACAAGACUGGUAUGUUCACUCGCAGCUCCAAGAAGAGAGAAUCCAGUAGAACGCUGAACACCCUUGCUGAAUCAGAGAGUGAACAGCUGUGUAACGUGUGUGGAGACCAGUGACCGGGCUUCAUUCUGCACCAAUGGAGGGACAGUUUCGUGGCGAACAAGACACUAAUUUGCCAUUGGAUAAAUAUGUUGUCUGCAAACCCACAACCUUCUGGCCCUCAGCCCUGUGCGCUAUCAAAAUUCCUGCGUUGCCAUGUAAUGCUUACAGGAUGAAGAACCGUUUGGUCUGUCCAAGAAUUGAGGGUAAACGGUAGACAUGUUUUCUGCUAUCCACUUUGUUUGAAUUAUUAUUUAGGGUUUAAACAAGGGCCCCUUUUUAUUUUCAAGCGUUCAGGGAGGGUUUAGGUACAAUAUAUUUUGCUGACGGGAGAGCCAUCCAUGUAACCCUUAUUAUAAAUAAUGUUUACUCCCUAACAUAAAUUAAAUAUUUGAAGUCAUUAGUGUAUGCUGUGCAAAUGUUAACUAUACUAUAAUUGUGGUAGUGUAUAAGGCUUCACAUUCCUACAACCCAUCGACUUGUGCAUCUUGUUCUCUAAACAGCCAUGAAGCCAAAUUGAAGUGCUGUUGAUUAAUAUCUUGGCCCGGGCAGACAACAGAAGUCGUCUCUUUACCCUGACUUUGACCCUGUGGACUGGCCAGUGUGCCAGUGCCAGAAAACCCACAUAAUCAGAGAGCCCAGAAGUCACAAGCCAAAACAGGCUCUCUUUGUGUUGACUCAGCAUUGUGGUGACUUGCAUUUUGAGUAGGUGCUUUUCAUUCUGGGAUGUUCAAAACCUUUUAUUCAGUGUUGGGGGGUGACUUUCAUUGUUUUCUAAUUCUAUGGGACCAGAUCUUGUUUUAAGCUCUGAGGAGUCUUGUUCUCCACCUUCACUUAGUUGUUUGUGUUUACUGUCUCAGUGUUGAAACGCUUUUGUUUCUCCACAGGGAGGCGAACAUGUCUCAUACAGACUAGACUGGAGUACAUAUCCUUUGUCCUAAAGGGCAAUUAGUUUGCAGCAAUAGAUAUCAAAUAUGGAUGUUUAAAAAAUGGUCACCCAGCUUUUAUUAUUGUGUUAUCAUUUUUUAAUAGUGUUCUGCAAUUACAUGUUUUUAACAACCAUGAGAGAUGGUCCUCAUGGCACUGUGUGUGUUCCACAGCUGAUUCCUAAACAAAAACAUAUCCUAAUCUUGUGCCAGACUAGGGGUAUCUCUGUGUGUCUUGUUGCUUUAGUCUGAUCCCCAUCUAUUUUCCUAGACUGUUACUAGAGGUCAUAGUGAACAGGUGCCAAGCACUCUGGGUAUUGGACUGAGACAGAUAGGCAUCAGAAAAUCCCUCUGACCCAGAGAGGGACUGGAGAAGAGGAUGAAGUCACUCACUAGAUUAGUGAUGUAGACCAGCUUAUCUACAGUAUGUAGGAGAGAGGGAGAGGGCAAGUGAAUCCCAAUGUCUGGAGAAGUGCAUUUGGUAUUCUGAAUCGAUUUGUAACUUUGACUGUCAUUGUAACUUUACAUUCCUGUAGGAAAACAUUCGUCCUCGUGAUUUUGUUCGAUUUGAAUACAAACCUUGUGGUUGCUGUUUACAUGUUUGUUCCACUCUGAAAUUAGGAGAAUAAAUAGAUCAAUGCACUCUC